AUUCUACUCCCUCUAUUCCACAAUACAUGCCUUCUAUUUGUCAAAAUAUAGAUGUAUCUAGACAUGUUUUAGUAUAUAGGUACAUCCAUUUUUGGACAAAUGGAAGUCAAGUAUUUUGGAAUAGAGGGAGUACAUA
Triticum aestivum (bread wheat) is the source of this 136-nucleotide non-coding RNA. NCBI's taxonomy places the organism in Eukaryota, Viridiplantae, Streptophyta, Magnoliopsida, Poales, Poaceae. The record is from Rfam.